Molecule: long non-coding RNA, 843 nt
Organism: Tupaia belangeri chinensis (Chinese tree shrew)
Lineage: Eukaryota; Metazoa; Chordata; Mammalia; Scandentia; Tupaiidae
Exons: 5
Source: RefSeq, a predicted model, not a curated record
UGAGCUUGGAGCGGCAGGGCUUAACCCGGAGCGCUCCGAGGUGGUUUUCUGAAGGACUCUGGAGGCAGCUGCAACAAGGCGUCACUCACUGUACAAGUAUUUCCAUUUCUAAGAGCAAAAGGAAGAACUUAAGCGGGCAGCACUUGGAGUGUAAAUUGCUUUCUAAUAUUUAAAAGCAGCAUGGAUCGUGGGCAGCAGAGCUGAGCUAAACCUAGGUUAAGCCACGGUCUGCAGAGUUGGUACUCCGUGCUCAGACCAGCAGCAUCCCCAGAGCUGUCCCCACUGAUGCAGAUGAAAAGCACAGGAUCUGGAGAUCUACUUCCAACCUAUGGAAUUCUGCAUUUCAAUGAGCUACACAGAUGAUUGACUUCUAUACACACUGAAGUGUGAGAAGCACUGAUGUACAUCCUUUACAUUGAAAUCCACCAGAUUUUUCUUAUAGCAGAUAUUUCCCCCACCCAAUCUUGGCACGGAAGAAAAUGAAGUUGUCUACAUACAACCACCAAUACAGAGGUCAUAGCAAUGAACCGAAACUUAAUGGCCUUUUUUUAUUAAAUGGAGAGUCUUGGAAUUGGUUUGAAAUGUUCCUGUCAUUGUGAUCUGGAAUGCCAGCUUCAAGAAAACACAAGCAAUGUUCUCAGGCUUUCAGACUCAAACUGGCUUUAUUCCAUCAACCUUCCUGGGAAUCGGCUUGAUGACUACAGAUUCUGAAAUUUUUCAACCUGCAUAACCAUGAAAUUGCCAGUUUACAAAUAACAUCUUCAUCUACCCUCCUCUCCCAAUAAAUGCUCCUGCCAGUCCCCGCGAAGGUUGAAGUUACACAAAUUUAGACUCUCAACUCAU